Molecule: ribosomal RNA, 253 nt
Filed under: uncultured bacterium
Lineage: Bacteria
Description: partial 16S ribosomal RNA
Rfam family: Bacterial small subunit ribosomal RNA
Source: RNAcentral
UACGUAGGCAGCAAGCGUUGUUCGGAAUUACUGGGCGUAAAGGGCGCGUAGGCGGUUCGUCAAGUCCUGUGUGAAAUCCCCCGGCUCAACUGGGGAACUGCACAGGAAACUAGCGGGCUUGAGUUCGGGAGAGGGAAGCGGAAUUCCGGGUGUAGCGGUGAAAUGCGUAGAUAUCCGGAGGAACACCGGUGGCGAAGGCGGCUUCCUGGACCGACACUGACGCUGAGGCGCGAAAGCUAGGGGAGCAAACGGG